CGAAAUUCCAACUUUACAGAGAGCUGCUAUACGGAUUUUGAGUCAACCUUGUAGUCUUCAUUGGUGUAGAUGGAACUGGAGCACUUUUGAUGGUGUUCAUGAAAAAAGACGGGAAAGGUUAGAGCUUGAUAGAUUCAAUGAUCUUGUUUAUGUGCACUGCAAUCUCUGGUUACGGGCACUUAUAAGAAGUAAAGAUGGCAAAUGGAAGCCAAUCAACUUCGACGAAAUAGAUGUUGGUGCUGAAUGGCCUACUGAAGCUGAAGUUGCGCCAUGCACUUACUUGGAUGAUUCAUGGUUGCAACUUGCACACUUCACCCCUUGAAGGCAG
This 328-nucleotide unclassified non-coding RNA is filed under the name Hevea brasiliensis (rubber tree). Lineage: Eukaryota; Viridiplantae; Streptophyta; Magnoliopsida; Malpighiales; Euphorbiaceae. The record is from RNAcentral.